RNAcentral lists this ribosomal RNA (658 nucleotides) under Meloidogyne incognita (southern root-knot nematode). Its description in RNAcentral is "partial large subunit ribosomal RNA". It matches the Rfam family "Eukaryotic large subunit ribosomal RNA", at positions 355 to 856 of the family's 3401-position model. The record is from RNAcentral. Lineage: Eukaryota; Metazoa; Nematoda; Chromadorea; Rhabditida; Meloidogynidae.
UAGGGAAAGUUGCAAAGCACUUUGAAGAGAGAGUUAAAGAGGACGUGAAACCGGUGAGGUGGAAACGGAUAGAGUCGGCGUAUCAUUCAAUUAUUCAGUUACAUUAUUUUUAUGUUGUGAUCUCUGAGCUCCAGAUUGGGACAGAGAGAAUCAGCAUAAUUUUCUGUGGUGCAUUUACUUGAUUGGUGCUUGGGGAUGUUUGAGGCAGAUUUGUGUCCGUCGUUUUGAGGCCAGCUUGCUGGUACCCAAACGGUGUUAGCAUUUUUUGUCUUGGACAUUUGAGUAUGGCUCACGUUUAUUUAUUGGUCAGAUCUGAGUGUAAGUUACGGUCGCAUGCUGACACGUGCUUUUCAAUUAGUUCGAGUCCAGUUAACUGCUCUCGUACUCGUUCCCCAUGUAAAAGCACGUGACCUAUCCGACCCGUCUUGAAACACGGACCAAGGAGUUUAUCGUUGUCCACAAGUUUUUGGGUGUUAAAAACCUAAAAGCGUAAAUGAACCAGUAAGAUGGCUCUUUAGACGUCUGAUGUGCGAUCUGUGUAAAAAAGUGCAGCAUGGCCCCAUCAUCUAACUGCUUUACAGAAAAUUAUGCUGGCUGGCGGAAUGCGGUGAGACCCGAAAGAUGGUGUAACUGAAUUCCUGAGCAGGACGAAGCCAGA